AUGCGAUGAUGAGUGAAGUAUAGUCUGACCUGGUAUUGCCAUGGCCUCAGCACUGGCUUUGACCAGGGCAUGAUCCCUUAAUCUUCUCUCUGAGCUG
RNAcentral lists this small nucleolar RNA (97 nucleotides) under Nannospalax galili (Upper Galilee mountains blind mole rat). RNAcentral's name for it is "Z30 small nucleolar RNA (ENSNGAG00000001647.1)". It matches the Rfam family "Z30 small nucleolar RNA". Rfam says of the family: Z30 belongs to the C/D class of snoRNA which contain the C (UGAUGA) and D (CUGA) box motifs. Most of the members of the box C/D family function in directing site-specific 2'-O-methylation of substrate RNAs. The record is from Rfam by way of RNAcentral. Lineage: Eukaryota; Metazoa; Chordata; Mammalia; Rodentia; Spalacidae.